ACUCAAAUGAAUUGACGGGGGCCCGCACAAGCAGUGGAGCAUGUGGUUUAAUUCGAAGCAACGCGAAGAACCUUACCAGGUCUUGACAUCCUCUGACCACUCUAGAGAUAGAGCUUUCCCCUUCGGGGGACAGAGUGACAGGUGGUGCAUGGUUGUCGUCAGCUCGUGUCGUGAGAUGUUGGGUUAAGUCCCGCAACGAGCGCAACCCUUGACCUUAGUUGCCAGCAUUCAGUUGGGCACUCUAAGGUGACUGCCGGUGACAAACCGGAGGAAGGUGGGGAUGACGUCAAAUCAUCAUGCCCCUUAUGACCUGGGCUACACACGUGCUACAAUGGGUGGUACAAAGGGUUGCGAAGCCGCGAGGCCAAGCCAAUCCCAAAAAGCCACUCUCAGUUCGGAUUGUAGGCUGCAACUCGCCUACAUGAAGCCGGAAUUGCUAGUAAUCGCGGAUCAGCAUGCCGCGGUGAAUACGUUCCCGGGCCUUGUACACACCGCCCGU
This 499-nucleotide ribosomal RNA is filed under the name uncultured bacterium. Its description in RNAcentral is "partial 16S ribosomal RNA". It matches the Rfam family "Bacterial small subunit ribosomal RNA", at positions 899 to 1397 of the family's 1533-position model. The record is from RNAcentral.